CACAGAUCAAACAUUUAUAACCCACAACAAUGGCAAAAAUAUGAUAUCCUGAAUUGCCAUGACAACUAGAAUCACUAUAUCCUUAUUUCAACACAAUCUGUCGUUUGGAAGAAUCAAAAUUAGUUAACCAAAUUGAGCAGUAAUGGUCACAGUUCGUAAAAGUAAUCCACUAAACCAUUGCUGAUAUCCCCUUUUCAUUGCAACAAUCUGCCCAAAG
Molecule: unclassified non-coding RNA, 217 nt
Filed under: Hevea brasiliensis (rubber tree)
Lineage: Eukaryota; Viridiplantae; Streptophyta; Magnoliopsida; Malpighiales; Euphorbiaceae
Source: RNAcentral